GGGUGAAUAGCUCAGUUGGUAGAGCGUUCGCUUUGCAGUCACAAUUCGACCUUGCGAAAGGUCUAGGGUUCGAUUCCCUAUUCAUCCA
Molecule: non-coding RNA, 88 nt
Organism: Cladorrhinum sp. PSN332
Lineage: Eukaryota; Fungi; Ascomycota; Sordariomycetes; Sordariales; Podosporaceae
Source: the annotation of a GenBank genome assembly